Molecule: long non-coding RNA, 240 nt
Filed under: Hordeum vulgare
Lineage: Eukaryota; Viridiplantae; Streptophyta; Magnoliopsida; Poales; Poaceae
Description: long non-coding RNA (HVUL_LNC004146)
Source: RNAcentral
GCAUAUUUCAUGUCCCGGAGGUCCGCAGCUUUGUUCCUGAAGGUGCAGGCAUUCCUCUCUUUCCAAAUUUCUGACAGGAUCAAGAUGCUGAUUGUUUUCACUGCUUUCUUGUGUUUUGGUAAACCAGAGUUGCUCAUCGUGGCUAAGAUGUCGGAAGAUUUUUCUUUGUCUUCCCAUGCUCCCGGGUGUAGUGUCACACAAGCAUGGUGCGAUGCCGCGUGUGUCCAUAUUUGUAUGGAC